CCUACGGGCGGCAGCAGUGGGGAAUAUUGGACAAUGGGGGCAACCCUGAUCCAGCCAUGCCGCGUGUGUGAAGAAGGCCCUCGGGUUGUAAAGCACUUUCAGUGAGGAAGAACGCCUGGUGGUUAAUACCCAUCAGGAAAGACAUCACUCACAGAAGAAGCACCGGCUAACUCCGUGCCAGCAGCCGCGGUAAUACGGAGGGUGCGAGCGUUAAUCGGAAUUACUGGGCGUAAAGCGCGCGUAGGUGGCUUGAUAAGCCGGUUGUGAAAGCCCCGGGCUCAACCUGGGAACGGCAUCCGGAACUGUCAAGCUAGAGUGCAGGAGAGGAAGGUAGAAUUCCCGGUGUAGCGGUGAAAUGCGUAGAGAUCGGGAGGAAUACCAGUGGCGAAGGCGGCCUUCUGGACUGAAACUGACACUGAGGUGCGAAAGCGUGGGUAGCAAACAGGAUUAGAUACCCCAGUAGUC
RNAcentral lists this ribosomal RNA (465 nucleotides) under Vreelandella stevensii. RNAcentral describes it as "partial 16S ribosomal RNA". It matches the Rfam family "Bacterial small subunit ribosomal RNA", at positions 338 to 795 of the family's 1533-position model. Lineage: Bacteria; Pseudomonadati; Pseudomonadota; Gammaproteobacteria; Oceanospirillales; Halomonadaceae. The record is from RNAcentral.